CCUUUUUGAUUAUGGCAACUCAAAUUCAAAGUUAAGUAAACAAACGAAUAGAUAACCAUUUAACACUGGAAAAUUUGCUAAUUAUAGGUGAACACAUUAACCCAAGCAAAUUUGCUAAACUAUAUGCUCCCCCUUAGCUAUUGCUCCCCCUUAACUGAUGUUCCCCUUUUAUUAUUGAAUUUUGCUACUCUCCUCCUUUGCCAUAUAUCAAAAAUAAUAGACUUUUGAAUAACUUAGAUACUUAACAUUCAGUUCUUAUUUAUAGUUAAGUGAAAAGAUGUAUCUUUUUGAUAGAUUUUAAAGGCUAGGAGAAAAGUAAUCUUUGAGGGUAAAUAAAAAGAACUCUGCAGAUAUUUACAAUGUUAGAUUUCAAAUUUAGCUAGGUUCAGCAAAGAUUUGAUCAUUAAGUUUUUAGCUUAGAUCUUUAGAAGUAGUAAAGUUUGAACAAUAUUUAAAGUUGGUUUAGGUUAUUCAUUAAAAUUCAGUUGGUCCUUAAGUCCAAGCAUGAGUUAUAAUCAGUAGAUUAAUUCACUAUGUGAAAAUCUGUAUUAGACUUCGCCACUGUUUACUUUGGCAAUUAAUAAUUAUGAAGUAAUAUAUUACAAUUAACUUCGGUACAAAAUUUAAUAUAGUAAAUACUAUGUUAGACUUCAUAGAUUAAAAAAUACAGGCUUUACUUCUAAUUUUAUCUAAUAUUUUACUUCGUGAUAUAUAUUUGAUGAAGUAAUAAGUCACAAAAUUAAACUAUAUGUCUAAAUGUUGAAGUAAUAAGUUAUAACUGGUUAAAAAUAUUUUCCUAGCUGAACCGACACUACUAGAAAUAAGGUCUAUUAUAACAUUUUCUUAAUGACACUUAAUUAAUAAUGCCAUUAUAAAUAUUUUUUAAUGACACCUACUAAAAAUAGAUUAUUAUAAAAAUAAAAUAUCUUAUUAGAUCAUCUAUUGUGACAAUAUUUAUAAAUGUCAUUACAAUUUAAUCCAACCUAUUUAUUUUCACUGACCUAGACUUCUCUUUUCACUAUCGUUCCUUUCCUCUUCUCAUCACCGCAAGAAGCGACUGUGGAGAGCUCAAAUCGCCUGCUAAUUACUUCUCCUACCAGUUCAAGUGGAAAAUGGAGCAGGAUCUCCUGAAAUCAUCGCUCUUCUUCAUCGAUCAGCGCAUUUGGUCUGCAAAAAUCCUCACUCUGUGCAUGGUCUUUAGAUUGAAUACCUCACUCGUCUUCUUCUUCUUCUUAUUCUUCUUCUUCUUCUUCUUCUUCUUCGGCAUUUUGAUGCUUUUUCUUCGAUCCUUGUCCUUCUAGAUGUGUUUCUCGAAUGGUGAAUCUAGGUUUUCCUUGCAAUCAUCUGCAGGUGAGAGCACUAAUCGAAGUCGUUGUCCUCAAUUUCCUGAAAACCCUCACCGCUCCCAACCCAGCCGUAUCAAAUCUGGCAUCGGUGUGUCUCUUUCUCGAUUUGCAAGCUUGUGAAGGGUUUAGGGCUUUCCAUUUGAUUUUGGAUCCAUUCCUUGGUAUUAUAAUUAAACCCCAUUUUCAUUAUUAGGGUUUCAUCAUGUUUGUUGUAGCUAUACGUCAUUUAUUUUGAGUGAUUUGGGAUCACAGUUUGCUCACUAAUAAUCCCAUCUGACGUGAUAGAUUAACAACAAAUCUAAUGACAAUGGGUUCCAUCAAGGGGUUCUUGAGUGAGGUCUCAUCAAUCUAUUCUAUCGCACUCUGUUUGCACAAGAUCUUUCAUGAGAGCACAGGAUGCAAAACCUUUCACAAGAGAUAUAGUUUCUGUAAUUAACUCCCAAUAUCUCGCACUCUACACAUAGCAUGAAUUUCUUGUUCUUGUUGAGUUUCUCUGCAGUAUAGAUGGUCAUGGCGAUGUGCUUCCGCAUUGUCGGGGAGGGGAAGCUUGUCACGCAACGAAAACUUUUCUAUAAGCUUCUUUGUGACUCACCUGACUAUUUCACAUCUUAGGAUCAAGUCAACAGAGUAGUACAAGGUCACCAUGUUCUAUCAUCCAUAUUGAUGUUGUUGCAUUGCUCCAGUGCACUCGACAUAGUCUAAGUAUCAUGGCUUCUAGCAAAGUUACAAUUGUUGGGAGAUUCCUAUUAGAGGAGCUUGGUGAAUAGAAUGUUGAUUGUUCUAUGCUUGGACAAGUUGGCUAUGCUAUAACCGGAGACCUUUAUGCAUUGAACAUAUUUGUCCUUAAUUAUGAUGUGAGAUAUAUCAUCAUAGUAGAGAAGUUACCUUUACAAAUACUUGAAGAAAGAAAAUAGAGCUGAGUAUGUCUCAUUUGUGGAUCCUGGUCACAUACCAAUAUGUGGUGUGGGCGAAGAAGGCAGUAAAUUGUCACAACAUAUUGCUGAGCAGUUGAGAGCAUCAAACAGAGAUAGUAUCUGCUUCAUUCUAUACAACACUAGUGGGGUCAAGUUAUACAAUGCAUCAAGGGGAAUUUCAAAAGGACCUGGUUUUAAAAAAUUGACGGGUAAUCUAAAAUAAAAAGGUGGUGUUGAAUGUGGAUAUUGUGUAAUGCGGUACAUGAAAGAGAUAGUCUUGGAUGAAUAUCCCCAACUGGAGAUGAAGUUUGCAACAUUAAAAAAUAAACAGUAUUACAAUCAAUCUCAGUAUGAUGAAAUCAGAAGUGAAUGGAGCAAAUUCGUCUACUUCUAUAUAGGUGCUUAAGUGUAGGAUGUGAUAUAAAUUUUGGAUUGUAUUUAGAGAUUUAUGGAUACAAAAUUUUUUUGGUUAUGGUUAAAUAUGUCUUUUAUGAAUACACUUUUGGAU
Molecule: long non-coding RNA, 2768 nt
Organism: Zingiber officinale
Lineage: Eukaryota; Viridiplantae; Streptophyta; Magnoliopsida; Zingiberales; Zingiberaceae
Exons: 7
Source: RefSeq, a predicted model, not a curated record